UCCCAGACUCCUACGGGAGGCAGCAGUGGGGAAUAUUGGGCAAUGGGCGCAAGCCUGACCCAGCAACGCCGCGUGAAGGAAGAAGGCUUUCGGGUUGUAAACUUCUUUUGUCAGGGACGAAGCAAGUGACGGUACCUGACGAAUAAGCCACGGCUAACUCCGUGCCAGCAGCCGCGGUAAUACGGAGGAUGCGAGCGUUAUCCGGAUUUAUUGGGUUUAAAGGGUGCGUAGGCGGAUUUUUAAGUCAGCGGUAAAAUGUCCGGGCUCAACCCGGGCCGGCCGUUGAAACUGGGGAUCUUGAGUGGGCGAGAAGUAUGCGGAAUGCGUGGUGUAGCGGUGAAAUGCGUAGAUAUCAGGAGGAACACCGGCGGCGAAGGCGGCCUGCUGGACCGUGACUGACGUUGAGGCUCGAGAGCGUGGGGAGCAAACAGGAUUAGAUACCCGCGUAAU
Molecule: ribosomal RNA, 450 nt
Filed under: uncultured bacterium
Lineage: Bacteria
Description: partial 16S ribosomal RNA
Rfam family: Bacterial small subunit ribosomal RNA
Source: RNAcentral